UGGAACCAAGGUAUCACCAAGACUGGGCUUCUGAAAAUAGGUAUCCCGAACACCGGAAUUGGAAUUUUAGUAUUAUAAUCCUUUCAACUUCGAAAUUUUGCUAUCGGGGUGUGAUUUAGCCGAUCCGCAGUCGCUGUUACGACAGUCCAUCUCACUGCUCCAAUUCUUAGAACGGAUCGGCGCUGGAGCUGGAGCUCGUCUUGUCCGACGGCGCUCCUGGGCGCUCCUCUCCCUGGUCCUCGGCCCUGUCAUCGCUGAUUGGUUGGAGCUCCCUGGCCCGACGGUCUUCUCUGCCCGAGCUCCCUCCCGGCGGCAAGCCGGUCCCGUUCAAUCCCGGCGGAGCUCCCAUCCAUCUCUUCCUCGCGCCUCGUCAGGUACGUGUUCCCUUAUCUUCUUCUUGUCAAUAAUCUGACUCAUGACGUGUUCCCUUAUCAGCUCGUCUUGUCAUCUUGGAGCAGUGUUUACUCUGUUUCUCUGGUUGUUAGCCACACUUGUCUAACCUGUAUAUUUGCUGAAUGUUGUGCCCAAAGGCACACUACAAUAAUCCAAUAAUUGUGCCUCUUUAAUUUGUAAUAUGUGGAGCUCCAAGCUGUUUAUUCUGGAACUUUUAGAACUAAAAUUGCAUGCUAAAUCACAUGGAAACAGUACCUUAAUACCUACAUGGCCAAUAUCUACCUCUAUUUUAGCAUUGUAUGCUUCUUUGUUUUGCAUUGAAGUUACUGUCGAGUUACCGCGCGGCCGUGCUGAACUUGAACUAUCAGGUUACCUCAGUAGCUUGUUUUCUGAAGUGAGCUGCCAAGUUUUCUGAAGUUAGCUGCCAAGUUUUCUCAAGUUUGUUAUAUGCUGCAUAACAAAGGUUUUGCCUAAGUGUGUACAUACAUAAUUCACCUGGGUUAUUUGACUUAAAUUGUGAUGUAGCUGAAGCUCACCUUUGGAAAUAGCUGACACACUUCUGGAAUGACUUCAACAAGAAGGUCGGCGCCUUUUCGGUAUACUAAUCUACUGACCACAACAAUAACUAUUUCAUCAUAGUUUAAGCGCUUGGGAGAGGGAGUAAACAUUGCAGUGUCAACUGCAUUAGGAACCAUGAAAACCUUCUCUAGAGAUAUCCCAGACCUCAAGACAGUGUUCUAUUUGCUUCUAAGUGAGACACAUAUUGCCUGAUCAAUAUCUGCAAGAGUAAACUGCAGCACCUUAUUCAUGUGAAUGCUUCCAGCAUCAGCAAAACCAUAAAGUGAGUGAUCUGUGAAGACAACUUUGUACCCCAUUGUCCUAGCAUGUAUUAAUGCUUCAUGACACAAUGUUGAAAAAGCUUGAUGUCCAUGCACGACAGAAAUCUUCUUGUUGAAAAAACUUUGUACCCCAUUGUCCAUGUGUUGCAAACAGAAAGCUAUAUAGUUUAUGAGGAAAAUAGGACCUUAUGGCCAAGCUUAAGUAGACAUUGUGACAGGUAGUAGAUAUGGCUUUCCACCCCACCAAAGUUUGGGAAGAAAAAGUUGAAUUCAUUACACUGGGCACACAUAGUUGAAGAUACAUCAUGAACUACAAGUUGAAAAUAC
Molecule: long non-coding RNA, 1559 nt
Filed under: Zea mays
Lineage: Eukaryota; Viridiplantae; Streptophyta; Magnoliopsida; Poales; Poaceae
Description: long non-coding RNA (ZMAY_LNC001500)
Source: RNAcentral